This 27-nucleotide transfer RNA is filed under the name Agama anchietae. RNAcentral describes it as "partial tRNA-Leu". The record is from RNAcentral. Lineage: Eukaryota; Metazoa; Chordata; Lepidosauria; Squamata; Agamidae.
ACUUUUAAUGGACAGGCAGCAGUCCGA